This 71-nucleotide transfer RNA is filed under the name Marmota monax (woodchuck). Its description in RNAcentral is "tRNA.Ala". Lineage: Eukaryota; Metazoa; Chordata; Mammalia; Rodentia; Sciuridae. The record is from RNAcentral.
GGGGUUGUGGCUCAGUGGCAGAGUGCUUACCUAGCAUGCGUGAGGCACUGAGUUUGAUCCUCAGCACCACA